RNA transcript from Tripterygium wilfordii, 1599 nucleotides. It is a transcript of the gene named WD repeat-containing protein LWD1-like, with no coding region annotated. NCBI's taxonomy places the organism in Eukaryota, Viridiplantae, Streptophyta, Magnoliopsida, Celastrales, Celastraceae. The transcript has 3 exons. The record is from RefSeq and is a predicted model, not a curated record.
UUAACGAUAAAAAAUGUGACACUUUUUAGAUAAAACUAAAAGAGGAAGCUUUUGGUUCAGUGACUACUGGGAAGUCUUCCUCAGACUCAGGCAUAUAUAACAAGAAGAGAAACCAAAUUGAUUUCUGGGUUAUCUAGAUUGAAGAGAAGAGAAGAUGGGGGGGAGCAGUGACCCCAAUCCGGAAGGAUCAGACGAGCAGCAAAAGCGAUCGGAGAUCUACACGUACGAGGCACCCUGGCACAUCUACGCCAUGAACUGGAGCGUCCGUCGCGACAAGAGGUACCGCCUCGCCAUAGCCAGCUUCCUUGAGCAGUACCCUAACCGCGUCGAUAUAGUCCAGCUGGACGACUCCACCGGUGAAAUUCGCUCCGACCCCAAUCUCUCCUUCGAGCACCCUUACCCGCCCACAAAGACCAUCUUCAUACCCGACAAGGAAUCUCAGAAGCCCGACCUCCUCGCCACCUCUAGCGACUUCCUCCGAGUCUGGCGCAUCUCCGACAACCGUGUACACCUUAAUACCAUCCUCAACGGCAACAAGAAUAGCGAGUUCUGCGGCCCUCUCACCUCCUUCGACUGGAACGAGGCCGAACCCAGGCGCAUUGGCACCUCCUCUAUCGACACCACUUGCACCAUCUGGGACAUAGAGCGCGAGACUGUCGAUACCCAGCUCAUCGCUCACGACAAGGAGGUCUACGAUAUCGCCUGGGGCGGCGUCGGCGUCUUCGCCUCUGUCUCUGCCGAUGGGUCUGUAAGGGUUUUUGAUCUCCGAGAUAAGGAACACUCCACCAUCAUCUACGAGAGUUCUGAGCCAGAUACAGCCCUGGUUCGCCUCGGCUGGAACAAGCAGGACCCCCGGUACAUGGCCACCAUCAUCAUGGACAGUGCCAAGGUCGUUAUUUUGGAUAUCCGCUUUCCUACACUUCCUGUGGUGGAGCUGCAGAGGCACCAGUCCAGCGUCAACGCCAUAGCCUGGGCUCCACAUAGCUCUUGUCACAUCUGCACUGCUGGCGAUGAUUCUCAGGCACUCAUCUGGGAUCUCUCCUCCAUGAGCCAGCCAGUAGAGGGCGGAUUGGAUCCUAUUCUGGCCUACACUGCAGGAGCUGAGGUUGAGCAGCUGCAAUGGUCCUCUUCACAGCCCGACUGGGUUGCCAUCGCCUUCUCCACCAAGCUUCAGAUUCUCAGAGUAUGACAUUUCUUGAUUAAUUUGGCAAAGUUAAGGACCCCUAAAGGCUAAAUCUAAUGGCAUUCAAUACAUCAGGUGGACCGUUCACAGUUGGUUGGAGGGGAGCUACACUGCAAUGUGAUAGCAAUGCAAUUGCAAGGAUAAGUUGGAGGCUGAAAGAUGGGUUUGAUAAGUAGAGCAAGGGUAGAAUGGGGCUCAGGCCCUUGCAUUAGACAGUAGAUCCCAUAUCCUACUCAACCGGCUUUAUUAUCAGAAUCCAUCCAACCUUUGUUGUGUAAUAUUUGUUAUAAUACUGCUUUCUGUAAUCCCUGAUCGGUGACCUUACAAGUACUUAAAACAUAAAAGGGAAAUACUAUUUUUGUGCCUUCACCUUUUUUUCUCAUCAUAAAAGUGUUAAUCCUAAACAUUUUGGCUUC